This is a long non-coding RNA of Rosa chinensis, 1434 nucleotides long. RefSeq lists it as uncharacterized. The transcript is spliced from 3 exons. The record is from RefSeq and is a predicted model, not a curated record. NCBI's taxonomy places the organism in Eukaryota, Viridiplantae, Streptophyta, Magnoliopsida, Rosales, Rosaceae.
UCUCUCUCUUUUGGCCGUACAGUCUCUCUCUCUCUCUCUCUCUCUCUCUUCCCCGACCUUUCUUCUUCUUCUUCUCUUCCUCUGCCAUCACCGGAGACCACCACCUCCGGCCACCAUUUCACAAAACCGCCACCAUCAAUUGAUGCAACCCCUAAAUCUGAUCAGAGCCCGAGCCAUACCGUCACCAUGCACCUCCUGCAGCCACCGCACGGGAGAAUCACAGUUCCACCGCCUUACUCCUUGAUCUUCGUCGGUUUCUGGCUAUCUUUUCAAUACACCUCCGCUACCAUCGUGCCCAGAACAAUCUGAACUUUCAAACCCAGAAGUUUUGUCGACUACUGAGGCCCGAAAGCCACCGCACACGGCGUCGCCGGAGACGUCGACUCUGUGGCUCUUCGUUCUUUAAUCUCUGGCCACAUUCGAGCUGCACGACCACGAUAACCCGAGUCAGGAUUUUACGAGCUACCAAAUCCCAAAACCCCGACCUCCAGUUCCGGCCAGAGCUGCCGCACGCUCUGCCACUGGCAUGUGGACCACCACAGCUCCGUCACUGGAUUCCCAGGCGCCUCUAUUAGGUAAACUGUCGUUUCUUUGCUUAGGUUGGAGCUUCUGGCUGUUGUGGAAUGGAACCCUAACGUAAUGUGUUCAAUUUUGAUUGUGAGGUUUUGGUGAAAUCUGUGUAUUGGGUGUAUGGAACCUUAAGCUUGGAAUUGGAUGCAGGAAAUGGGAAAUCCAUUACUCAGUGAUGAGGACUUUGGAAGGGGCACUGAAGAGUAGGAGAUUGGCUUUAUAUCGAGAUUCUUGGCAGUAAAGAAAAGGCGAAAUGAGAUCGACCUCGACCCUUCACUCAUUCUCUCUCCUUCUCACUCGGGCUCUCUCAGCUCGACCUAGAAACCGUGAGGAAAACUCAAACACGAGCCCUCUCUCCUUCUCACUCAGCUCUCUCAGAUCUCGAUUCUCACUCUCUCGAUUCUUUGUUGGCUAAGAUUGAACUUCUUCAUCAUAUUUCUAUCAAAUCUGGCCACUUCAGUAGAAGAUCUACCAACUCUCUUCUCCUUCUCUCUCGCUCCCUUGUCUUUCCAAACCCUACUCUCCCUCUCCCUCUCCCUCUCCCUCUGUCUGUGUCUCCGAAUCUCACAUUCUCUCUCUACAAUCCUCUCCGUCUCUCUCUGAAAUUGACGGAGAUGAAGUCUAUCUGCGCCACAAUUUCUUACGGGAGACGAUGGAGCCGCCCCAGUAGGGUCUGGCAAGCCUCCGUGAAAGCAUAUAGCCGCCAAGGAGAACGAGUCUCCGCCUUCAGAUCUCCUCUAUAUGGCCUUGGAUUCGAAGCCUUCGCCAGCGGCCAAGUUGAAUAGUCUGUUGCCGCCACGGCCUUGAGAUGCUUCCUGAGAACUCCGUCCAUGGAGCCUUUGGAGAAAGUUGAGAACUUUGGCC